Long non-coding RNA from Bombus huntii, 3987 nucleotides. RefSeq lists it as uncharacterized. The transcript has 2 exons. The record is from RefSeq and is a predicted model, not a curated record. Lineage: Eukaryota; Metazoa; Arthropoda; Insecta; Hymenoptera; Apidae.
AUUACGUUUUUCCAACUUAUCGUUUUAUUUUCGUAAUGAUUGGGAGACGUGGACGUUUAUUCGAUGAAAUAAGCAUUGGUGCACUACCUUUGAAAUUGUCUUACUUUUGUACCAUGUUGUACUUAUCUUCUACGUAUUGUCAUUCUCAUACGAAGUUUAAAACAGUUUCAUAUAAAAAUAUAGUUCAGUAGGACAUAAUAUAAUAUCACGCCUUUGAAUGCAAAUGUAUGUCUGUAUCUUACCAUUCAGUAUUUUUCCUCUAGUAUUAACACUCGCAUGACUAUUGAUGAGACUUUUUGGAUCCAAUUUUUUUUUAAACAAAAACAUGAUUUUAUGAAUAUUUUAUGAUUAUUUCGCAUGAUUUUUUGCUCAAAUCACAUGUAUAAUCGACUAUACAUACUGUCACUUGUUUAUCCCUGCUGCAAUCACCGAAUUUUCAUAUAUAUAAUGUUUUAGAAAGAUAUUUAAUACAUAAUUGAAAUAUAAAAUCGCGCAUACCGAUAAUAAUUUGUUCAUGUUUUGCUGAAACUUAAGAUAUAUGUAUGUAUGUAUCUUGACGUUAGGAAAAUACUAUCGAAAAUGACGGAAAGAAUACAGUAGGGUUAACUCUUUCAUAAUGUUUCAUGAGAAAGGUUCGGGCAAGUUGUUAAAUAUGUAAUAAUAUGUAUGUAUCUAUCUAUCUACUAUAAAUUUUAUAUCUUAAAUAUUAUUAUACAUGCGGUAAUUAUUAAAAUUGAUUGCCAUUAAUUUACCGUUAAUUCAAAGAUUCGGUAACCUUCGUGUACACAUGUAUACGUUUAUUAGAUAUACCAGACUGUUCAGAUAUAUAUAAACAACAAUGUACGAUAUAUUUCAGAUACUUCAUUUUCUUUUUUCGUGUUCUCCUUCAGUCACUCUGUCACGUGUGUGGUCAUACCAGAAUAAAUGAACGACGAAAAAGGAACAGAUCUAGAGAAUUUAUCUUCUUUUUCGAGUCACGAUUUUAACGGAUUUAACUCGAAUGUGCAAUAAAAUAUUCUCUUGCACAUUACAUAUUUACUUUAUCCAGAGUUAUUAUUGUUCACGUAAUUUACAUUUGUCGUCCGUUGUAGUUUUAUAAUGAAAGCCUUUUAUUAGAACUUGUCUUGUAUGUGAACAUUUCAUGGUCACACAUAACAUGUCCGAUUAAAAACACGUCUCGAAAUUCCAUGCAGCCUGCAAGGCACAAAAAAUACAUAUAUAGUUCCGUCGAAAUCACAUUAAUGAGCUGAGACAGCAAACAUUGUUCUCAAGCAGAACCUUCUCACCCUUCGAGAACUUCUAAGCUUUUUGUUCGUUUUCUUGAGUUUGAAGAUUUAUGGAAGAUAUUUAAACUUAAAUAUUUCCCUUGUACUCUAUGCUUUAUACAUUUUCUACAGUUUUUUUAUUCUUUCGAACAAAUUAAAUAUUACAGCGGGAAAUAAUAUAUAUUUUGUACAAAAUUUCGUAUAUUAUAUUUUUUAUAGCGUUAGAUAAUAAAAUUAAUCAAUAAUAUAAUUGUAUUCUAGUAAUGAAAUUACAAUAACGAUCCCAAAAAUAACAAUUCUGAUCAUUUUUCGAUAAGCUAAGUUUAAGUAUGUAAGUAAGUAAGAUUUUCUCGAAAAGGAAACGUCACAUGAACAAAUCGUAUUCUAAUUUUCGUUGUUUUUUUUACGUAGAAUUACCCUCUUACCAAUUGUAUCACGAUUGCUGAGACAGCUAUAUAUGUAUAUAUUGUUAAUCAGAAUGUUUUUAUUAUAUGAUCAAUAACUUACCAGAUUUGGAUCAUAAACUCACAAUCUGUCGUUAAUGACGUUGAAAAGUUAUGGAAACUUUGGAAUUGAUAUAGCAUUGGAGGUCAGGUAAUUAAUCCCAUAAUUUAAAGAAAAUCUUGUUUAACGUAGAAAAUACAUAUCAUUGGUAAUUAGAUUGUAUGGAACAUUUUCUGUAUAUUUAAUAUUAGUUAAGUAAUUGUAUUAAUUAUUAUAAUGAAUAAAAAUGUUCUUAAAAUCUUUCAGUUUAACACGUUACAAGUCUUAACUUUUGACCAAAAGAUAUUCUAUCUUCAUUCAUAUUUAUUCAUUCAUUAUUCAACUAAACGUUUACCUAAACGUACCCACCGAAUUUUUAAAUAUAACUCUGUUUGCAAGUAUUACGGUAUUUUUGUCGGCAGAGAAAAAGUGGGUGAGAAAAUUUAGUUGAGAACUGACAUUAACGAGAAAAUAUUUUUGAAAAUAUACAAACGUAUAUUACUGAUGAAGUAUGUUCAAUAGUUUCGUAUAAAACUAAAUUUUGUACAGUAAUUUAAAGAAAUUUAGAUUGAAAAUGUAGGAAACGUAAAUGUAAAAUUGUAAUAUAUACGUAAUUUUAUUAAUAUUAUUUUAUAAUAUUGUUAUAUAUUAAUAAUAUAAUUAUGUUAUUUUAUUAAUAUAUAUGUAAUUAUAUUAAUUUCUUUUCUUGAAAGGUGGUUAUGGUCAUUUUAAACCUGAAAGUAUCGAACUUGUAUGUAAAAUUUUUGGAAAGUAAAAAAUUCGGAUAUGAAAAUUUGGGAAUUUAUUAAUUUAGGUGAUAUGAAAUAUCAUAAAUUAAAAAGGAUAGAAUAUGGAUAGAAUAUUUUAAUUCAGAAAUGAAAAAAUUAGGAUGUAGAAACUUGGGGAAUAAUAAAUUUGCGUAGGAAAAUUUAGAAAUUUAGAGAUUUAUAUAUGAAAAUUUCAAAAUGAUGAAAGUUAGGAAAUUCGCAAUAAAUAUGUCGUCUAGAAGUUGCAUGACGAAUUUUUACGUUUUAAUUAGCAAGCUUAUAAAAGAAGUGCUGUUGUAUUAGGCUAAAAGAAAUUCUACUUAUAUGUAUACGUACAUAUGUAUGUAGAUCGUACAAGCAAAAUGCUCCUGCUGAGAGGUGAUUCUCACGAACUGAACGUACUAGUUCUGGCAACUUUGCAUGUAUUCCAAGGAACAAUCAUCUUAAACUACAGCUGCGAACCUACGGCUGGGAAACGGCUUUUAUUAUACAGGCUGGUUGGUAACUGGUGGUAGAAGCGGAAAGGGGGUGAUUCUACGCGAAAAAAGAAGUCGAAAAUAUAGAAUAAAAAUUUUUCGUACCACCAAAAAUCGACUUUGAAUUUUCGCUCGGUACGCGUGCGGUACGUUAUAACGAAUCUCACUGUAGAUCGUUGUCUCGGUGGAAAAAUUAAAACAAAAAGAAUUAAAAAAAAAGAUUUUUAUUCUAUAUUUUCGACUUCCUUUUUCACGUAGAAUCACCCCCUUGCCGCUUGUACCACCAAUUACCAACCACCCUGUAUAUUAAACGUUAAAAGUGUUUUGGUACAAUUUAAACAAUAUUGUAAUGUGUGGUAUAUUUUUUAAUUUUGUUGAUUAAAUAGAAUAUGAUUUAUUAGAUGGAAUAUGAUAUUCUUGUUACCGACUUGGGUCAUUAGAGUAGUUUUAUAUUUCACUGGUAAAUAGGAAAGAAACAUUUACCGACUAUGGCGCUUACAUAUACAAUACGAUGGAAAAUGCAUAAGGUAGAAAUAUAAAUGAUAACUCUCAACAUGCAAGGCAUCAACUUUCAUCGAAUGACAAAUUAUUCUUUGAUUCUGACACAUCUUGCGAAACUACCGAGCGACCUUCGUUUCUGGAUACAUUAACAUACGUUCAAGAUGUUUCAUUUGUCUUUUCUGCCUCCGUAUCUUUGUUAUUUGCAGCAGUAUAAAAUAAGUAUUAUGUAAAGAGCGUUGUAAAAAGACAAUUUUAGUAUUCGAGUUUGUACUUUUUAAAUUUCUGAUCUCGUCGAUAUGAGGUGAUAAUAUAUGUAUUUGAGAAUAAUAUUCGUGCCUAUCUUUGUUAUCAUGUUCUUAUAUCUUUACAACUAAUCUAUUAAAAAGCAGCAUAACAAAAUUAUCAGUGAUCUUGGAAACUAAAAAAUAAUUUUGUGAUUCGAAAUUUAUAAUUACAGUAUCUUUUAUGUAGAAAUAAACAAUUUUGCUGUUAGUA